RNAcentral lists this ribosomal RNA (500 nucleotides) under uncultured bacterium. RNAcentral's name for it is "partial 16S ribosomal RNA". It matches the Rfam family "Bacterial small subunit ribosomal RNA", at positions 30 to 523 of the family's 1533-position model. The record is from RNAcentral.
AUUGAACGCUGGCGGAAUGCUUUACACAUGCAAGUCGAACGGCAGCACGGACUUCGGUCUGGUGGCGAGUGGCGAACGGGUGAGUAACAUAUCGGAACGUAUCCAAUAAUGGGGGAUAACGAGUCGAAAGAUUCGCUAAUACCGCAUACGCCCUACGGGGGAAAGCUGGGGACCUUCGGGCCUGGCGUUAAUGGAGCGGCCGAUAUCUGAUUAGCUAGUUGGUGAGGUAAAGGCUCACCAAGGCGACGAUCAGUAGCUGGUCUGAGAGGACGAUCAGCCACACUGGAACUGAGACACGGUCCAGACUCCUACGGGAGGCAGCAGUGGGGAAUUUUGGACAAUGGGCGCAAGCCUGAUCCAGCCAUUCCGCGUGAGUGAAGAAGGCCUUCGGGUUGUAAAGCUCUUUCGCAAGGGAAGAAAACUUAGCCACUAACAUUGGUUGAGGUUGGCGGUACCUUGAUAAGAAGCACCGGCUAACUACGUGCCAGCCGCCGCCGUAA